Molecule: non-coding RNA, 2449 nt
Organism: Lactuca sativa (garden lettuce)
Lineage: Eukaryota; Viridiplantae; Streptophyta; Magnoliopsida; Asterales; Asteraceae
Source: RefSeq, a predicted model, not a curated record
UUUAUUUUUUCCUUCCCUCGUUUUAUUUUCGGUCCCACUUUUCUUUUUCGUUCCCUCGUUUUCUUCUCAUUCCCUCCGAUUUCUUCCCAAAACCAUAAACGAUUUCCUCCCAAAGCCCUAAUCGACCUUCUGUCGACUCAAAUCCCUCCUCCGCCCGAGAAAUCACCUCCACCACCAUCCACCUGCAUCGCCCCUCUUUGAAGACUGAAUUAUACUUGAAGGCUCGUCGUUUCCCUGCCAAUGCACUUCAAUCUGUUCGUUCAUCCUUGGCUGCUUCAUAUCAUAAACUCGAGCAAAUCUAAAUUAGUCAUCAUCAACUUCCAAUUUUGGCUUCUAAUAGCGUGCAUUUAAUAAGGGGCUCAAAUUCAAAACAUCAGCAAUCAUGAGUUUCAGAAUGUCUCGACCUAUUGUUGGUAUGUAUUUUUGUUUCAAUACUCUUGUAUUCUCUAUUCCUAUAUUCUUUGUAGGAUCCAUUUUUGACUUUUAGGUCAAGAAUAUAUCUAUUGAGUUAGGCGCUAUUGAGUUAGAAACACAUGACAUACAUAGGAACAAGUGCUUUAAAAUGGACAUUGUGGUGCCUACUUGUUCAUAAUUUAUUAGUAUUCCUUCACAAAGUUUUGAAUUUUCAAUGGCCUGUUGCUUAAAAUUUUGGAAAUGAAAUUAUGAUUUUUCAACAAGUUUAGGAAAAACCGAAAUUGAAUACUCUGAGGAGAAGAAGUAUAAGAUUUCCUUACCACAUGAUGUUAAGGUGAGUUUGUUGUUAGUUUAUCGAUUUAUUAUUUUGAACUACUGGUUUGAUUAACAAUGGGUGAUAUUUUGACAUAAUGAUUGGUGAAAGAGAUUUUUGAAGGAAAUGGUAGUUUGAUAUUGAGAAGACAAAAUAUUUGUGGGCUGAUAUGAUCAAAUGGAGGAAGGAUUAUGGUAGACACAACCAUGGACUGUUAAGAUUUACGUCUUCAAAAUGCGACAUUUCUAAAUACUCUGUACUUUUUACUUGGUUUAUUGAUUAGGGACUAAAAACAUGAACAAAAAUGCUAGUGAACUUAUCCAAUGCCUCCAGAACAUUGAUGGAAACAACUAUCCUGAGUGUCUCAAAUCCAUGAGAAAGAUAUUGCAUUGAUUCCAUUUCUUGGGAAACAUCUUGUCACCUAAUCCCAAAUGGUUGAACAAAAAAAGGGACCGGAGGUCUCUGAACUCAAGAAACAGUUAGAAGCUGCUCGACAAAAGGGUAUUACUGUUCAGGCAUUGGUUGCAAUUAAUCCGGGCAACCCAACAGGGCUGGUAAAAAAAUAAAAAUGCCUUUUAUUUACCAUUUUUAGUAAAAAUGGUAAAGUUACUUUUCACUCUUUUUGAUAUUUAAGAGGUUCUUGCUGAAGAAAACCAACGACAAAUUGUGGAAUUUUGCAAGAAAGAAGGUUUGGUAAAAAAAAAUACAAAAAUAUCUUAAAUAUAUUAUAAUUCAAGUUCAAAAGGGUAAAUUGGACAUUUUCCUAAACCAACUAUUGCAGGUAUACCAAGAGAUUUAACUCAUUCAAGAAAAUCUGUCGUUCAAUGGGAUAUGGUGACAAAGACAUCCCCUUGGUUUCUUUUCAAUCCGUAUCUAAAGGUAUAUAUAAAAGAUUAAUGACGUAAAUUCAAAUUGUUGAAUUUAUAUAAAACUUUGGUUUUUUUUUUUAAAAAAAAAGUGUAUCAUGGUGAAUGUGGGAAAAGAGGUGGUUAAAUGGAGGUAAUUGGUUUUAGUACUGAAGUUAGACAACAAUUUUACAAAUUGGCAUCUGUGAAUCUUUGCUCCUAUAUCUCUGGUCAAAUUCUUGCAAGUCUUGUCAUGAUUAGUAGUUUUCCUUGCAUGGGUGAGAAUUGUGUUUUUUCUUUAAUGUAUUUUUUAUAAAAACUGUUAUACGACUCACAAUUAAUACAAUUAAUACAGGAACAAAGAAUGUGGGUAAGUUAAAAAACAUUUUACACUAUUCUCUGUAUUCCCAUGGUCUUUUAUUCAUUGAUCAGACAGAUGAUUCAUCCAUGGAUGAGUGCUUUAUUCAUGGUCUUGACAGGAGAAGUGGGAUCAACUUAAUUCAUAAUGUUGUUUACAAUUGUGGAUCAAAAUACAUAAACUAUAGUGGCUUAUUGGAAAGGGGUGAUGAAAUGAUAUGUGUUGCAUCCGUCAGGUUUUGAGCAUAAAAUAUCAUAACCAGCUCCUCGAAAUGAUCGAUGCCAGUCAAUUUUGGUGGUAGAUGGUCCAUAAUGGUCAACACAGAUGUUCAAAGAAUCAAAAUCGCAGAAGAGAAGACAAUUUCUGAACACCAGUUCCUAAACACGGAAAAAGUAAGUGGUACUUGGUUCGCCUAAUUCAAUGGAAUUUAACAGGAAUCGGAAUCCAAUUCCAUUCCGACCCUUCUUUCGGAUGCAAGAUAUGAAGUAAUGGAGAAGAUUUAUGCGGAAAUGCAAAAUU